RNAcentral lists this ribosomal RNA (916 nucleotides) under uncultured Acidobacteriota bacterium. Its description in RNAcentral is "bacterial SSU rRNA". It matches the Rfam family "Bacterial small subunit ribosomal RNA", at positions 58 to 952 of the family's 1533-position model. Lineage: Bacteria; Pseudomonadati; Acidobacteriota. The record is from RNAcentral.
CAAGUCGAACGCGAAAGUGGAGCAAUCCAUGAGUAGAGUGGCAAACGGGUGAGUAACGCGUGGGCGACCUACCUUCAAGUGGGGGAUAACUUUCCGAAAGGAGGGCUAAUACCGCAUGACAUCCUGUUUUUGGAUAAACGGGUAUCAAAGCCGGGGAUCGCAAGACCUGGCGCUAGAAGAGGGGCCCGCGUCCGAUUAGCUAGUUGGUGAGGUAACGGCUCACCAAGGCUCCGAUCGGUAUCCGGCCUGAGAGGGCGGACGGACACACUGGAACUGAGACACGGUCCAGACUCCUACGGGAGGCAGCAGUGGGGAAUUGUUCACAAUGGGCGCAAGCCUGAUGACGCAACGCCGCGUGGAGGAUGAAGAUUUUCGGAUCGUAAACUCCUUUCGACCGAGAUGAAUUUCUGCCGACCUAAUACGUCGGCAGGGUGACAGUAUCGAGGGAAGCAGCCCCGGCUAACUCCGUGCCAGCAGCCGCGGUAAUACGGGGGGGGCAAGCGUUGUUCGGAAUUACUGGGCGUAAAGGGUUUGUAGGUGGCUUGCUAAGUCAGACGUGAAAUCCCUCAGCUUAACUGAGGAACUGCGUCUGAGACUGGCAAGCUUGAGUGCAGGAGAGGAACGCGGAAUUCCAGGUGUAGCGGUGAAAUGCGUAGAUAUCUGGAGGAACACCGGUGGCGAAGGCGGCGUUCUGGACUGUAACUGACACUGAUGAACGAAAGCCAGGGGAGCAAACGGGAUUAGAUACCCCGGUAGUCCUGGCCCUAAACGAUGAAUGCUUGGUGUGGCGGGUAUCGAUCCCUGCCGUGCCGUAGUUAACGCGUUAAGCAUUCCGCCUGGGGAGUACGGUCGCAAGGCUGAAACUCAAAGGAAUUGACGGGGGCCCGCACAAGCGGUGGAGCAUGUGGUUCAAUUC